Molecule: ribosomal RNA, 253 nt
Filed under: uncultured bacterium
Lineage: Bacteria
Description: partial 16S ribosomal RNA
Rfam family: Bacterial small subunit ribosomal RNA
Source: RNAcentral
UACGAAGGGGGCUAGCGUUGCUCGGAAUGACUGGGCGUAAAGGGCGCGUAGGCGGUUUGUACAGUCAGAUGUGAAAUUCCUGGGCUCAACCUGGGGGCUGCAUUUGAUACGUAUGGACUGGAGUGAGGAAGAGGGUCGUGGAAUUCCCAGUGUAGAGGUGAAAUUCGUAGAUAUUGGGAAGAACACCGGUGGCGAAGGCGGCGACCUGGUCAUUUACUGACGCUGAGGCGCGAAAGCGUGGGGAGCAAACAGG